CCAAAUACGUUACAGAGAGCGUAAACCGAGUCAGCCGCGAAAGAUAUCACUCCUACGACAGCGACGACGAUUCGGUGGAAGAAGAGUUUCAAGAUAGGGAACUAGUGGAUCAUCCAAUCUGGCUAAUCAGAACAACAGGUCUGCAACAAUCGAUCAUAAACUCGAUUACGAUCUGUAGUUACAAGAGAGGAGAUGGGUUGAUCGAGAGAACAGAUUGUCCUGUUUGUUUAAGCGAGUUUGAAGAAGACGAGAGUCUUAGGUUAUUACCUAAAUGUAACCACGCUUUUCACAUCUCUUGCAUUGACACUUGGCUUAGGUCUCACACCAAUUGUCC
RNAcentral lists this long non-coding RNA (334 nucleotides) under Eutrema salsugineum. RNAcentral describes it as "long non-coding RNA (ESAL_LNC000053)". Lineage: Eukaryota; Viridiplantae; Streptophyta; Magnoliopsida; Brassicales; Brassicaceae. The record is from RNAcentral.